GACGAACGCUGGCGGCGUGCCUAAUACAUGCAAGUAGAACGCUGAAGAGAGGAGCUUGCUCUUCUUGGAUGAGUUGCGAACGGGUGAGUAACGCGUAGGUAACCUGCCUUGUAGCGGGGGAUAACUAUUGGAAACGAUAGCUAAUACCGCAUAACAAUGGAUGACACAUGUCAUUUAUUUGAAAGGGGCAAUUUCGCCACUACAAGAUGGACCUGCGUUGUAUUAGCUAGUAGGUGAGGUAACGGCUCACCUAGGCGACGAUACAUAGCCGACCUGAGAGGGUGAUCGGCCACACUGGGACUGAGACACGGCCCAGACUCCUACGGGUGGCAGCAGUAGGGAAUCUUCGGGCAGGGGGGCAACCCUGACCGAGCUACGCCGCGUGAGUGAAGAAGGUUGUCGGAUCGUAAAGCUCUGUUGUAAGUCAAGAACGAGUGUGAGAGUGGAAAGUUCACACUGUGACGGUAGCUUACCAGAAAGGGACGGCUAACUACGUG
Molecule: ribosomal RNA, 497 nt
Filed under: uncultured bacterium
Lineage: Bacteria
Description: partial 16S ribosomal RNA
Rfam family: Bacterial small subunit ribosomal RNA
Source: RNAcentral